This is a long non-coding RNA of Amphiprion ocellaris (clown anemonefish), 1756 nucleotides long. The record is from Ensembl. Lineage: Eukaryota; Metazoa; Chordata; Actinopteri; Pomacentridae.
CAGCAGACGAGCUGCAGGUGGAGCUGAGUGACUGGUCUCUGAGCGUCUCUAUAAAAGCAGAUGGCACCCGUCAUUCAAAGCUGGACCGUCGUCUAAUCUCCAGUUAGUGCUGGGAGUAGAACUGUCUUUGCCACCAGCCUAGAAUUGCCAGUAAUUCUGUUUUCUGUGUUUAGAAAGCUGAUUCCUGCCUGCUGAGUUGCCUGGGUUCCUUCGUCUGCUGGUUUCCGCCCUACCAUGGAUUCUGCCUUCUUCUCCGGAGGAUCUCCACCUGUUGCCAGCUUAACCUGGGAACAUCAACGUACACCUGGAAAGAAGACUUUCUCUGGAAACAUCUGCCACAACCAGGUUCUACUGAUACCAACUUACCAAGCACAUGGUGAACACCGGGAGAGAGAGUUCUAGAUGAAGUCAAACCAAAAGGACUGUUCUCAGCUCAUCAGCAGAGACCCAGGAAGAGGAAGGUAGAUCAGGUGGGGGAGUGGCCUGUUAGAGUCUCUUUGGGACCAUGUGGCCAUCUCAGGUGGGAAAGAGCUUCAAAACCGCAGUCCUAAUUGCGAGCAUGUGGCCUUCAGCAGCGUCCAAGGCGCACUUGACUUUCCAGGCCGUCCGGUGCUCUGGGCUGGAAGCCUGAGCGGAGGAGCACAUUUGGGCCACAGUGCUGCCUGCAUGUCAUCGAAUAAACUCCACACACAUACUAUUUUCUGAACCAUUGCUAUCUGUCUUUCUCUGGAACCCCUUCAGACCUCUUGAAUCCUUGUAGAAACAAUAAGGCGGAUCUGAAUGUGACAGGCGCGUCUCUUCAGUCGGGACCAAACCAAACCGUCAGCUGCGGCGGAGAUGCUGCUGUCAGAGCAGCAGAAGGUCCUGACAGGGUCCGCAGCUCUUAAUAAAGGCUGCUGCUCCGCUUCCCCAAUUAAACCAAGCCGAGCAAAUACACAGUGGUAACCUGCGGAACCAGUCUGAUUUAGUUUUACAGUGACGAGCUGUAAAAUACGUGUCCAUUUGAUCGAGCCACUAUAAAGCAGCUCCUGACUCUUAAAUCCUCCUUUAUAUGAAAUAGGAUAAUUUCACUUGUUCCAUGGAUGAAGACGCAAUAUGUCGCUGAUAGCAAUUUUAUUUUACGCACGGUCCAUAUGCGAAUAAAACAUAGUGAAGCUCGUGUACAGACAUGCGUGUACACACAAACGGUGCAAAAUGUAACGAGAUUUGAAUGUAUAAAGAGCGUUUCCUAUGGGUUUACCCUGGUGUCCACAUAUUUUUACGCACUGGAGUUAGAUCCCAAAAUAUUCCGACCACAAAUCGUCCCACUUAAUUUGGGCCCAGUAGCCACAUUAACAUAUAUACAAACAUAAACGGCUUCAUGUCACAGGGAUUUCUGUAUAAUUAAACCUGGUUAAAUGUAUUAUUUUUAUUGGCCGAUUUAGGCCUAUAAUAACGAUUAAAGUGCAUCCGAGAUUAAAAAUGUAAGACUGUGAACUUGAUGGUGUAUUUAUCCGAAAUCAGUUAUUUCAACCCGUGCCACACAUUUUCUUAUAAUAGAAUGGAAAACUGUAGGUUCAUUAAUCACUAAAUAAUAAUAAUAAUUGAUAGGAGCAACUUUGCCUUCUGACGCAAAUACUAAAGUGUCCUCAGGGAAUCAAAGUUCCCGAUAGAACUGUGGCUUUUAUAUUCCUCGUUUAAUAUGUCUUAAAAAUCUCCGUAUUGUUUGUCAGUAAGUGCAUCUGCAAUAAUUCAAGAGUAACUUUUUCGAGGCCAU